AAUGGCCUAACGGCUGAACCAGCAACUUGGAGGAAUGUAUAGCGAAAGCUAAUCCACUUAAUUGUGAUAUCGGUUAAAUCGAAUAAAAUUCUUGGCAGAUAAUGAUAAUGACAUUAUUUGUUGAUAUGUCUUGACCAAAAUACGUGCCAGCAGUCGCGGUAAUACGUAGAAGACAAGUGUUAUUCAUCAUUAGUGGGUUUAAAGGGUACCUAGACAGUAUAUCAAGCCUUCUGGUACUAAUAUACUAGAGUUACUUAUGAGGGAGCUUCAAGGUACUGGUGUGUGUAGAGAUAGAAUUCUUUGAUACCUUUAUUCGCAAGAUACAGAUGGCACAGCCAAAGGCGAAAGCAUCUUCCUAUGGGAUAGCUUCAUAUAACAAAUAGGAUUAGAGACCCUAGUAGUUGAAUGCGGAAAAUGGUGAGUGUCAUAGGUUAAUUUAUCCUAUAAAUGAUAGUGUAAGCACUCCACCUCAAGAGUAAUUUGGCAACAUUGGAACUGAAAUCAUUAGACCGUAUCUGAAACCAGUAGUGAAGUAUGUUGUUUAAUUUGAUAAUCCGCAAAAAACCUUACCAUGAAUAACUACAAGCGUUGCACGGCUGUCUUCAGUUAAUGUCGUGAGAUUUUGGUUAGUUCCAUUCAAUUAACGUAAACCCUUGCUUUAUUUUUUAUAUAAAGUAGUCCUCCAAUAUAUAGGAUCAGGUGAUAGGGAUCAAGACAAGUCAUCAUGGCCUUAAUGUA
This 738-nucleotide ribosomal RNA is filed under the name Fellhanera viridisorediata. RNAcentral describes it as "SSU rRNA". It matches the Rfam family "Bacterial small subunit ribosomal RNA", at positions 370 to 1208 of the family's 1533-position model. The record is from RNAcentral. Lineage: Eukaryota; Fungi; Ascomycota; Lecanoromycetes; Lecanorales; Pilocarpaceae.